CUCAGGUGAGGAAUGUCGAUCCA
Molecule: non-coding RNA, 23 nt
Filed under: Arabidopsis thaliana (thale cress)
Lineage: Eukaryota; Viridiplantae; Streptophyta; Magnoliopsida; Brassicales; Brassicaceae
Source: RNAcentral